CCAGCAGCCGCGGUAAUACGAAGGGACCUAGCGUAGUUCGGAAUUACUGGGCUUAAAGAGCACGUAGGUGGUUAAGAAAGUUGGUGGUGAAACCCCAAGGCUUAACCUUGGAACUGCCACCAAAACUUUUUAACUAGAGUAUGAUUGAGGCAAGCGGAAUUUCUAGUGUAGAGGUGAAAAUUCGUAGAUAUUAGAAAGAACACCAAUUGCGAAGGCAGCUUUCUGGAUCAUUACUGACACUGAGGUGCGAAAGCAUGGGUAGCGAAGAGGAUUAGAUACCCUCGUAGUCCAUGCCGUAAACGAUGUGUGCUAGACGUUGGGAAUUUAUUUUUCAGUGUCGCAGCAAAAGCGUUAAGCACACCGCCUGGGGAGUACGACCGCAAGGUUAAAACUCAAAUGAAUUGACGGGGAUCCGCACAAGUAGUGGAGCAUGUGGUUUAAUUCGAAGAUACGCGCAGAACCUUACCAACACUUGACAUGUUCGUCGCGACUCUAAGAGAUUAGAGUUUUCGGUUCGGCCGGACGAAACACAGGUGCUGCAUGGCUGUCGUCAGCUCGUGUCGUGAGAUGUUGGGUUAAGUCCCGCAACGAGCGCAACCCUUACUUUUAGUUGCUACCAUUCAGUUGGGCACUCUAGAAGAACUGCCAGUGAUAAGCUGGAGGAAGGUGGGGAUGACGCCAAGUCCUCAUGGCCCUUAUGUGUUGGGCUACACACGUGCUACAAUGGUAUUUACAGUGGGAUGCAAAGAGGCAACUCCUAGCCAACCCCCAAAAAAUACCUCAGUUCGGAUUGUACUCUGCAACUCGAGUACAUGAAGCUGGAAUUACUAGUAAUCGCGAAUCAGCGUGCCGCGGUGAAUACGUUCCCGGGUCUUGUACACACCGCCCGUCACACCAUGGAAGUUGGUUACACCUUAAGGCAAAGCGUAAAACC
This 934-nucleotide ribosomal RNA is filed under the name uncultured prokaryote. RNAcentral describes it as "bacterial SSU rRNA". It matches the Rfam family "Bacterial small subunit ribosomal RNA", at positions 508 to 1441 of the family's 1533-position model. The record is from RNAcentral.